AAUGAACGUUGGCGGCGUGGAUUAGGCAUGCAAGUCGUGCGGCAGCGGGCCCUUCGGGGUGCCGGCGAGCGGCGAAAGGGAGAGUAACGCGUGGGUCACCUACCUUUAGACCCGGGAUAGCAGCGGGAAACUGCUGGUAAUACCGGAUAAUGUCUCCGGACCAAAGGUGUGAUUCCGUCUAGAGAUGGGCCCGCGUCCUAUUAGCUUGUUGGUGGGGUAAUGGCCUACCAAGGCUGUGAUGGGUACCGGGUGUGAGAGCAUGGCCCGGCUCACUGGGACUGAGACACUGCCCAGACACCUACGGGUGGCUGCAGUCGAGAAUCUUCGGCAAUGGGCGCAAGCCUGACCGAGCGACGCCGCGUGCGGGAUGAAGGCCUUCGGGUUGUAAACCGCUGUCAGAGGGGAAGAAAUGUUAGUAGGUUCUCCUACUAAUUUUGACUGAUCCUCAGAGGAAGCACGGGCUAAGUUCGUG
RNAcentral lists this ribosomal RNA (472 nucleotides) under uncultured bacterium. Its description in RNAcentral is "bacterial SSU rRNA". It matches the Rfam family "Bacterial small subunit ribosomal RNA", at positions 28 to 507 of the family's 1533-position model. The record is from RNAcentral.